This 465-nucleotide ribosomal RNA is filed under the name uncultured bacterium. Its description in RNAcentral is "bacterial SSU rRNA". It matches the Rfam family "Bacterial small subunit ribosomal RNA", at positions 338 to 795 of the family's 1533-position model. The record is from RNAcentral.
CCUACGGGCCGCAGCAGUGGGGAAUAUUGCACAAUGGGCGCAAGCCUGAUGCAGCCAUGCCGCGUGUAUGAAGAAGGCCUUCGGGUUGUAAAGUACUUUCAGCGGGGAGGAAGGCGAUAAGGUUAAUAACCUUGUCGAUUGACGUUACCCGCAGAAGAAGCACCGGCUAACUCCGUGCCAGCAACCGCGGUAAUACGGAGGGUGCAAGCGUUAAUCGGAAUUACUGGGCGUAAAGCGCACGCAGGCGGUCUGUCAAGUCGGAUGUGAAAUCCCCGGGCUCAACCUGGGAACUGCAUUCGAAACUGGCAGGCUAGAGUCUUGUAGAGGGGGGUAGAAUUCCAGGUGUAGCGGUGAAAUGCGUAGAGAUCUGGAGGAAUACCGGUGGCGAAGGCGGCCCCCUGGACAAAGACUGACGCUCAAGUGCGAAAGCGUGGGGAGCAAACAGGAUUAGAUACCCUUGUAGUC